AGGUGUCCACCACUGUGCCUGGAUUUCAUUCUCAUUUACUCUGACUUCAUGGGUAAUAUUUCUUUUCUCAAAGAUUCAUUUCGAUUGGCACAUGAAGGGGAUAUCAGGACAACUAACCUGAACAUGACUACCUCAGGGAUUUAAAAAGUUCUCCACCAUCUUUGAUGAAGCACUCAACAAAGAUUUGAGCCUCUUCUGCAGUGAGUACACUGAGAUAAGCUUGCUCCAAUAUGUGGAUUAUCUUUUGUUAGCAGCAAGGGAUGAAAGUGACUGUUUAAGGGCCAUCCAAGGCUUACUGAGAACCUUGGCUCAAUUGGGGUACUGAGUCUCCAAAAAGAAAGCACAAAUCUGUUCUCAAGUUAUUUAUCUAGUAUAUAAACUGAGGGAAGGGAAAAGGCUGCUAUCUCAAGCCUGCAUAGAAGCCAUAAUGAAGAUCUCAAUUCAAACUACUCAAAGGCAAAUUAGGGAAUUCCUAGGGGCAGGUGGGUACUGCUGCCUUUGGAUACCUGAAUUUGCUGAGAUUGCCAAGCCUUUAUAUAUUGCAACUGCAAGGGCCAACUCACCUUUAGUUUGUACUGAGGAAAAUGAAAAAAGGCUCUGGUACAGGCUUGGACCCUAACACUCCCUAAUAUAUCUAAGCCCUUCCAUCUGCACGUUCAUGAGAAAAAGGGCAUUGCAAAAGGGUUCUUACUUAAAAUCUAGGACCAUGUAAAAGACCAAUUGCCUACAUUUCAAAAAGGCUGGAUCCAGUCCUGUUAGGAUGGACCCUUGUUUAUGAACCAUAGUGGCUACUGGACUCCUGGUGAAGAAAACAGACAAGCUUACCCUGAGACAGACUCUAACUAAACCAGUCUUAAUACAACUAACAUCUGGGGCUAUGUCCAUUUGGGUCUCAAUAGAGCCUCCAUUGCAGUGGAGGCUCUAUUGAGUGAUGCCACAAAUCACUGGAUGUCGAAUGCCUGCCUCACUCAAUAUCAAGCUCUCCUCCUUGACAAAGACAGAUUAACCUUCAAUAAAUCCCUGGCAAUAAAUCAAGCAACCCUGCUGCUGGACAACAAGCCAGAGGAGCCAGUUCACGAGUACUCAGAGAUGCUGGAUGUCAUCCAAGGUACUUAGACCUGACUGACGUUCCUCUCACCAUCAGAGACACAGACCUUUACACCGAUGUGAGAAGCUAUGUCUGGAAUGAAAUAAGUUUCAGGCUGCUCAGCCCACUGGACACAGAUUGCCUGAUCAUUCAUUCCAUCCCAGCAAUGCUGUGCUGAUAAGACAUUGAAAAACCAACAGCCUUAAACCCAGGUGGAAAGGCCUUUGCAUGGUCAUUCUCCGCACUCUCUCUGCAGUCAAAGUUGCUGGUAUUCCUGCAUGGAUUCACCAUUUUCAGCUUAAAAAGGCACCUGAAGAACCCAUAGGAGGAGAAUUUAGUGGCCAAAGGUGGAAAGUGACUAAACAUGAAUCCUUUAAAAUUAAAAUUUCAAAGGAUAACUCAGAGUGAAGCCUCUGGCAGGCUGUUCUCACGUGAUAAGAGAAAAGAGCAGUAAGAUCAGAGUGGAGACAACCAGACCAGAUGUUUCUAACCCCAGGGUAAAUGAUGUCAUGGAGAAAUCUGGUGGUAACUAAUAUGGAUUGAAAAGCCCUAAAAUUUAGUAUAAAUAAUAGAGUAAAUAAACAGAAACUCAGCAAGCUGAAACAAAGAUGCACUUGAGCUGGUGAGGCUGAUGAGGACUUGGAAUGACAUCUCAUCACUUGUCAUCAUUUGCAUGAUCCUCACUGCUCUCAAACUCUCCAUUAACAUCUUGACCCUGGUGAGAGCCACAACUUCUCUCUAUGACCCUCUCCUCAACUAGCCAUCAACUCCAUUCAUGGAGAAGUCUGCCUUGUUCCUAAACUGACCACUGUGAUCUGAGUGUGCAUCUGCUGGACUUAAAGCCUAAGGAAUGGGGCUUUUGAACUUAGCACAAAGAGAGAAUUUCUGUCAUUAGCCUGUCAUGAUUAAGUGUAUUUGCAGUAAUAAUAAUUAAUAUAGAUUAAUUAUUUGUUUGCUGUGAAUUAAUUAAUCUAGAAUUAUUUGCUGUGAAUUGAUUAUGUCUAUUGCAGUGCCUAGCAUUGAGGAUUGUCAUUUUCUUCAUUAAGACCUAUAAAGUAAACUUCCAUUUAAUUAUUUGAGUGAAUAGAGCAUUGAAAAGGGCAGAAGAAUGUGGACAUUCUUUAUUUCUUCCUCUUGAUUACAUACAUCACAACUUUUUUUCUCCCCCAAACUACCUAACUAUACUAUCUUAUUUAGUAGAAGAGACUGAUUUUUAAGAUUAUUUUAUUAGUUUUUUAUGUGAUACUGAAGAUCAAACCCACUGCCUCACACAUACUAGGCAAGUAUUCUACUAAGAAACCAGCCUCUCCCUCAGAGAAAAGCCUGUCCAAGGAAGAAGGCAUGACCCUUGUCCUUGGAAAGACCCACAGAGCACUCCUAGGCACAUAUCCACCCUACUGAGUUGUUUAUCUACAAAUAACAGGAGAUAUCUGUGGAGCCAUGUGUCCCUGACUCAGUCUGGCUAGGUGAUUACCUAUAGCAACCCCAUAGCAACCACCAAUCAACAUGAGACAGGGAAAAUACAUGGAAUGCCAGAUGACCCUCCCAGUAGUUUAUGGUGGUUGACAACAUAUUGGGGAAACCAUGUAGUUCAGCAUGCACUCCCCUUGUGGCUUAAACCAAUCAUU
Ictidomys tridecemlineatus (thirteen-lined ground squirrel) is the source of this 2715-nucleotide non-coding RNA. The record is from RefSeq and is a predicted model, not a curated record. NCBI's taxonomy places the organism in Eukaryota, Metazoa, Chordata, Mammalia, Rodentia, Sciuridae.